UACGUAGGGCGCAAGCGUUAAUCGGAAUUACUGGGCGUAAAGCGUGCGCAGGCGGUUUUGUAAGUCUGUCGUGAAAUCCCCGGGCUCAACCUGGGAAUGGCGAUGGAGACUGCAAGGCUAGAGUUUGGCAGAGGGGGGUAGAAUUCCACGUGUAGCAGUGAAAUGCGUAGAGAUGUGGAGGAACACCGAUGGCGAAGGCAGCCCCCUGGGUCAAGACUGACGCUCAUGCACGAAAGCGUGGGGAGCAAACAGG
Molecule: ribosomal RNA, 253 nt
Filed under: uncultured bacterium
Lineage: Bacteria
Description: partial 16S ribosomal RNA
Rfam family: Bacterial small subunit ribosomal RNA
Source: RNAcentral